GGUCUCAUGGUGUAAUGGUUAGCACUCUGGACUUUGAAUCCAGCGAUCCGAGUUCGAAUCUCGGUGAGGCCU
RNAcentral lists this transfer RNA (72 nucleotides) under Cricetulus griseus (Chinese hamster). Its description in RNAcentral is "tRNA-Gln (TTG) (tRNA-Gln-TTG-4-1)". It matches the Rfam family "tRNA". Rfam says of the family: Transfer RNA (tRNA) molecules are approximately 80 nucleotides in length. The record is from Rfam by way of RNAcentral. Lineage: Eukaryota; Metazoa; Chordata; Mammalia; Rodentia; Cricetidae.